RNAcentral lists this ribosomal RNA (253 nucleotides) under uncultured bacterium. RNAcentral's name for it is "partial 16S ribosomal RNA". It matches the Rfam family "Bacterial small subunit ribosomal RNA", at positions 524 to 776 of the family's 1533-position model. The record is from RNAcentral.
UACGAAGGGGGCUAGCGUUGCUCGGAAUCACUGGGCGUAAAGGGUGCGUAGGCGGGCCUUUAAGUCAGGGGUGAAAUCCUGGAGCUCAACUCCAGAACUGCCUUUGAUACUGAGGAUCUUGAGUUCGGGAGAGGUGAGUGGAACUGCGAGUGUAGAGGUGAAAUUCGUAGAUAUUCGCAAGAACACCAGUGGCGAAGGCGGCUCACUGGCUCGGUACUGACGCUGAGGUGCGAAAGCGUGGGGAGCAAACAGG